UUUUUCCACCGGAGCUUGCUCCACCGGAAAAAGAAGAGUGGCGAACGGGUGAGUAACACGUGGGUAACCUGCCCAUCAGAAGGGGAUAACACUUGGAAACAGGUGCUAAUACCGUAUAACAAUCGAAACCGCAUGGUUUUGAUUUGAAAGGCGCUUUCGGGUGUCGCUGAUGGAUGGACCCGCGGUGCAUUAGCUAGUUGGUGAGGUAACGGCUCACCAAGGCCACGAUGCAUAGCCGACCUGAGAGGGUGAUCGGCCACAUUGGGACUGAGACACGGCCCAAACUCCUACGGGAGGCAGCAGUAGGGAAUCUUCGGCAAUGGACGAAAGUCUGACCGAGCAACGCCGCGUGAGUGAAGAAGGUUUUCGGAUCGUAAAACUCUGUUGUUAGAGAAGAACAAGGAUGAGAGUAACUGUUCAUCCCUUGACGGUAUCUAACCAGAAAGCCACGGCUAACUACGUGCCAGCAGCCGCGGUAAUACGUAGGUGGCAAGCGUUGUCCGGAUUUAUUGGGCGUAAAGCGAGCGCAGGCGGUUUCUUAAGUCUGAUGUGAAAGCCCCCGGCUCAACCGGGGAGGGUCAUUGGAAACUGGGAGACUUGAGUGCAGAAGAGGAGAGUGGAAUUCCAUGUGUAGCGGUGAAAUGCGUAGAUAUAUGGAGGAACACCAGUGGCGAAGGCGGCUCUCUGGUCUGUAACUGACGCUGAGGCUCGAAAGCGUGGGGAGCAAACAGGAUUAGAUACCCUGGUAGUCCACGCCGUAAACGAUGAGUGCUAAGUGUUGGAGGGUUUCCGCCCUUCAGUGCUGCAGCUAACGCAUUAAGCACUCCGCCUGGGGAGUACGACCGCAAGGUUGAAACUCAAAGGAAUUGACGGGGGCCCGCACAAGCGGUGGAGCAUGUGGUUUAAUUCGAAGCAACGCGAAGAACCUUACCAGGUCUUGACAUCCUUUGACCACUCUAGAGAUAGAGCUUCCCCUUCGGGGGCAAAGUGACAGGUGGUGCAUGGUUGUCGUCAGCUCGUGUCGUGAGAUGUUGGGUUAAGUCCCGCAACGAGCGCAACCCUUAUUGUUAGUUGCCAUCAUUCAGUUGGGCACUCUAGCAAGACUGCCGGUGACAAACCGGAGGAAGGUGGGGAUGACGUCAAAUCAUCAUGCCCCUUAUGACCUGGGCUACACACGUGCUACAAUGGGAAGUACAACGAGUCGCGAAGUCGCGAGGCUAAGCUAAUCUCUUAAAGCUUCUCUCAGUUCGGAUUGUAGGCUGCAACUCGCCUACAUGAAGCCGGAAUCGCUAGUAAUCGCGGAUCAGCACGCCGCGGUGAAUACGUUCCCGGGCCUUGUACACACCGCCCGUCACACCACGAGAGUUUGUAACACCCGAAGUCGGUGAGGUAAC
RNAcentral lists this ribosomal RNA (1394 nucleotides) under Enterococcus durans. Its description in RNAcentral is "bacterial SSU rRNA". It matches the Rfam family "Bacterial small subunit ribosomal RNA", at positions 72 to 1439 of the family's 1533-position model. The record is from RNAcentral. Lineage: Bacteria; Bacillati; Bacillota; Bacilli; Lactobacillales; Enterococcaceae.